This 482-nucleotide ribosomal RNA is filed under the name uncultured bacterium. Its description in RNAcentral is "partial 16S ribosomal RNA". It matches the Rfam family "Bacterial small subunit ribosomal RNA", at positions 30 to 507 of the family's 1533-position model. The record is from RNAcentral.
AUUGAACGCUGGCGGCAUGCCUUACACAUGCAAGUCGAACGGUAACAGGUCUUCGGAUGCUGACGAGUGGCGAACGGGUGAGUAAUACAUCGGAACGUGCCCGAUCGUGGGGGAUAACGAGGCGAAAGCUUUGCUAAUACCGCAUACGAUCUACGGAUGAAAGCGGGGGAUCUUCGGACCUCGCGCGGACGGAGCGGCCGAUGGCAGAUUAGGUAGUUGGUGGGAUAAAAGCUUACCAAGCCGACGAUCUGUAGCUGGUCUGAGAGGAUGAUCAGCCACACUGGGACUGAGACACGGCCCAGACUCCUACGGGAGGCAGCAGUGGGGAAUUUUGGACAAUGGGCGAAAGCCUGAUCCAGCCAUGCCGCGUGCAGGAUGAAGGCCUUCGGGUUGUAAAGUGCUUUUGUAGGGAACGAAAAGCCUCUUUCUAAUAAAGAGGGGUCAUGACGGUACCGUAAGAAUAAGCACCGGCUAACUACGUG